Non-coding RNA from Bifidobacterium saguini DSM 23967, 164 nucleotides. NCBI's taxonomy places the organism in Bacteria, Bacillati, Actinomycetota, Actinomycetes, Bifidobacteriales, Bifidobacteriaceae. The record is from Rfam.
UUUGUGGAGGGUUCGAUUCUGGCUCAGGAUGAACGCUGGCGGCGUGCUUAACACAUGCAAGUCGAACGGGAUCCAUCAGCUUGCUGGUGGUGAGAGUGGCGAACGGGUGAGUAAUGCGUGACCGACCUGCCCCAUGCUCCGGAAUAGCUCCUGGAAACGGGUGG